RNAcentral lists this ribosomal RNA (383 nucleotides) under uncultured eukaryote. RNAcentral describes it as "partial 18S ribosomal RNA". It matches the Rfam family "Eukaryotic small subunit ribosomal RNA", at positions 592 to 976 of the family's 1831-position model. The record is from RNAcentral.
CAAUAGCGUAUAUUAAAGUUGUUGCAGUUAAAAAGCUCGUAGUUGGAUUCCUGGCAGGAGCGACCGGUCACACACUCUGUGUGUGAACUUGCGUUGUCUCUGGCCAUCCUUGGGAAGAUCCUGUUUGGCAUUAAGUUGUCGGGCAGGGGAUACCCAUCGUUUACUGUGAAAAAAUUAGAGUGUUUAAAGCAGGCUUAUGCCGUUGAAUAUAUUAGCAUGGAAUAAUAAGAUAGGACUUCGGAACUAUUUUGUUGGUUUGCGUUACGAAGUAAUGAUUAAUAGGGACAGUUGGGGGUAUUCGUAUUUCGUUGUCAGAGGUGAAAUUCUUGGAUUUCCGAAAGACGAACUACUGCGAAAGCAUUUACCAAGGAUGUUUUCAUUAA